AACGAACGCUGGCGGCAUGCCUAACACAUGCAAGUCGAACGAGACCUUCGGGUCUAGUGGCGCACGGGUGCGUAACGCGUGGGAACCUGCCCUUAGGUUCGGAAUAACUCCCCGAAAGGGGUGCUAAUACCGGAUAAUGUCUUCGGACCAAAGAUUUAUCGCCUUUGGAUGGGCCCGCGUUGGAUUAGCUAGUUGGUAGGGUAAAAGCCUACCAAGGCGACGAUCCAUAGCUGGUCUGAGAGGAUGAUCAGCCACACUGGGACUGGGACACGGCCCAGACUCCUACGGGAGGGAGCAGUGGGGAAGAUGGGACAACGGGCGAAAGCCGGAGCCAGCAAUGCCGCGGGAGUGAUGAAGGCGUUAGGGUUGUAAAGCUCUUUUACCCGGGAUGAUAAGGACAGUACCGGGAGAAUAAGCUCCGGCUAACUCCGG
RNAcentral lists this ribosomal RNA (432 nucleotides) under uncultured bacterium. RNAcentral describes it as "partial 16S ribosomal RNA". It matches the Rfam family "Bacterial small subunit ribosomal RNA", at positions 29 to 506 of the family's 1533-position model. The record is from RNAcentral.